RNAcentral lists this ribosomal RNA (253 nucleotides) under uncultured bacterium. RNAcentral describes it as "partial 16S ribosomal RNA". It matches the Rfam family "Bacterial small subunit ribosomal RNA", at positions 524 to 776 of the family's 1533-position model. The record is from RNAcentral.
UACAGAGGGGGCGAGCGUUGUUCGGAAUUACUGGGCGUAAAGGGCGCGUAGGCGGCCCGCUAAGUCGAACGUGAAAUCCCCGGGCUCAACCCGGGAACUGCGUCCGAUACUGGCAGGCUUGAAUCCGGGAGAGGGAUGUGGAAUUCCAGGUGUAGCGGUGAAAUGCGUAGAUAUCUGGAGGAACACCGGUGGCGAAGGCGGCAUCCUGGACCGGUAUUGACGCUGAGACGCGAAAGCGUGGGGAGCGAACAGG